RNAcentral lists this ribosomal RNA (204 nucleotides) under Laccaria sp. RNAcentral describes it as "partial small subunit ribosomal RNA". It matches the Rfam family "Eukaryotic small subunit ribosomal RNA", at positions 1339 to 1563 of the family's 1831-position model. Lineage: Eukaryota; Fungi; Basidiomycota; Agaricomycetes; Agaricales; Hydnangiaceae. The record is from RNAcentral.
GACCUUAACCUGCUAAAUAGCCAGGCCGGCUCGCGCUGGUCGCCGGCUUCUUAGAGGGACUGUCAGCGUCGAGCUGACGGAAGUUUGAGGCAAUAACAGGUCUGUGAUGCCCUUAGAUGUUCUGGGCCGCACGCGCGCUACACUGACAGAGCCAGCGAGUUUUUUGUCCUUGGCCGGAAGGUCUGGGUAAUCUUGUGAAACUCU